This 266-nucleotide ribosomal RNA is filed under the name uncultured bacterium. Its description in RNAcentral is "partial 16S ribosomal RNA". It matches the Rfam family "Bacterial small subunit ribosomal RNA", at positions 88 to 354 of the family's 1533-position model. The record is from RNAcentral.
CAUUCGAGUGGCGGACGGGUGAGUAACGCGUGGGUAACCUGCCUUACACAGGGGGAUAACACCUGGAAACAGGUGCUAAUACCGCGUAAGCGCACAGGGCCGCAUGGCCCGGUGUGAAAAACUCCGGUGGUGUAAGAUGGACCCGCGUCUGAUUAGCUUGUUGGCGGGGUAGAGGCCCACCAAGGCGACGAUCAGUAGCCGGCCUGAGAGGGUGGACGGCCACAUUGGGACUGAGACACGGCCCAAACUCCUACGGGAGGCAGCAG